GACGAACGCUGGCGGCGUGCCUAAUACAUGCAAGUAGAACGCUGAAGGAGGAGCUUGCUUCUCCGGAUGAGUUGCGAACGGGUGAGUAACGCGUAGGUAACCUGCCUGGUAGCGGGGGAUAACUAUUGGAAACGAUAGCUAAUACCGCAUAAGAGUAGAUGUCGCAUGACAUUUGCUUAAAAGGUGCAACUGCACCACUACCAGAUGGACCUGCGUUGUAUUAGCUAGUUGGUGAGGUAACGGCUCACCAAGGCAACGAUACAUAGCCGACCUGAGAGGGUGAUCGGCCACACUGGGACUGAGACACGGCCCAGACUCCUACGGGAGGCAGCAGUAGGGAAUCUUCGGCAAUGGACGGAAGUCUGACCGAGCAACGCCGCGUGAGUGAAGAAGGUUUUCGGAUCGUAAAGCUCGGUUGUAAGAGAAGAACGAGUGUGAGAGUGGAAAGUUCACACUGUGACGGUAGCUUACCAGAAAGGGACGGCUAACUACGUG
RNAcentral lists this ribosomal RNA (495 nucleotides) under uncultured bacterium. RNAcentral's name for it is "partial 16S ribosomal RNA". It matches the Rfam family "Bacterial small subunit ribosomal RNA", at positions 28 to 507 of the family's 1533-position model. The record is from RNAcentral.